This 253-nucleotide ribosomal RNA is filed under the name uncultured bacterium. RNAcentral's name for it is "partial 16S ribosomal RNA". It matches the Rfam family "Bacterial small subunit ribosomal RNA", at positions 524 to 776 of the family's 1533-position model. The record is from RNAcentral.
UACGAAGGGGGCUAGCGUUGCUCGGAAUUACUGGGCGUAAAGCGCACGUAGGCGGAUUGUUAAGUCGGGGGUGAAAUCCUGGAGCUCAACUCCAGAACUGCCUUCGAUACUGGCGAUCUCGAGUUCGGGAGAGGUGAGUGGAACUGCGAGUGUAGAGGUGAAAUUCGUAGAUAUUCGCAAGAACACCAGUGGCGAAGGCGGCUCACUGGCCCGAUACUGACGCUGAGGCGCGAAAGCGUGGGGAGCAAACAGG